Triticum aestivum (bread wheat) is the source of this 135-nucleotide non-coding RNA. The record is from Rfam. NCBI's taxonomy places the organism in Eukaryota, Viridiplantae, Streptophyta, Magnoliopsida, Poales, Poaceae.
UUUCUACUCCCUCCGUCCGAAAACACUUAUCAUCAAAAUGGAUAAAAAGAGAUGUAUCUAAAACUAAAAUACGUCUAGAUACAUUUCCUUUUAUCCAUUUUGAUGACAAGUAUUUCCGGACGGAGGGAGUAUUUG